CCCUUAGAUGUUCUGGGCCGCACGCGCGCUACACUGAUGCAUUCAACGAGCCUAUCCUUGACCGACAGGUCCGGGUAAUCUUUGAAUCUGCAUCGUGACGGGGAUAGAUUAUUGCAAUUAUUAAUCUUCAACGAGGAAUGCCUAGUAGGCGCAAGUCAUCAGCUUGCGUCGAUUACGUCCCUGCCCUUUGUACACACCGCCCGUCGCUACUACCGAUUGAAUGGUUUAGUGAGGCCUUCGGAUCCGCGACUCGUUUGUGGAGAAGUUGGACAAACUCAGUCAUUUAGAGGAAGUAAAAGUCGUAACA
Molecule: ribosomal RNA, 307 nt
Filed under: uncultured eukaryote
Lineage: Eukaryota
Description: partial 18S ribosomal RNA
Rfam family: Eukaryotic small subunit ribosomal RNA
Source: RNAcentral